RNAcentral lists this transfer RNA (72 nucleotides) under Marmota monax (woodchuck). Its description in RNAcentral is "tRNA.Undet". Lineage: Eukaryota; Metazoa; Chordata; Mammalia; Rodentia; Sciuridae. The record is from RNAcentral.
GUGAUGUGGCUCAGUGGUAAAGUGCAUGCCUUGGCAUGCAUGAGGCCCUAGGUUCAAAUCCCCAAGCACAUA